GGCUGUUCUCAGGUGAUGCACCCCGGAAUCGGGCUCCCUCCUCUCUGGUUCUGGGUGCUCCAGCUGCC
This is a non-coding RNA of Myotis davidii, 68 nucleotides long. NCBI's taxonomy places the organism in Eukaryota, Metazoa, Chordata, Mammalia, Chiroptera, Vespertilionidae. The record is from Rfam.